This 151-nucleotide ribosomal RNA is filed under the name uncultured bacterium. Its description in RNAcentral is "partial 16S ribosomal RNA". It matches the Rfam family "Bacterial small subunit ribosomal RNA", at positions 337 to 490 of the family's 1533-position model. The record is from RNAcentral.
UCCUACGGGAGGCAGCAGUGGGGAAUUUUGGACAAUGGGGGCAACCCUGAUCCAGCAAUGCCGCGUGCGUGAAGAAGGCCCUCGGGUUGUAAAGCUCUUUUGUCAGGGAAGAAACGGUGAUCUUUAAUACUGAGUGCUCAUGACGGACGAG